UACGUAGGGGGCAAGCGCUGUCCGGAUUUAUUGGGCGGAAAGAGCGUGUAGGCGGCUUUACAGGUCCGUUGUGAAAACUCGAGGCUCAACCUCGAGACGCCGGUGGAAACCGUAAGGCUAGAGUCCGGAAGAGGAGAGUGGAAUUCCUGGUGUAGCGGUGAAAUGCGCAGAUAUCAGGAGGAACACCCGUGGCGAAAGCGGCUCUCUGGGACGGUACUGACGCUGAGACGCGAAAGCUAGGGGAGCAAACGGG
RNAcentral lists this ribosomal RNA (253 nucleotides) under uncultured bacterium. RNAcentral's name for it is "partial 16S ribosomal RNA". It matches the Rfam family "Bacterial small subunit ribosomal RNA", at positions 524 to 776 of the family's 1533-position model. The record is from RNAcentral.